GACGAACCGUGCGAACGUUAUUCGGAAUCACUGGGCUUAAAGCGCGCGUAGGCGGGCCGGCACGUCGGAUGCUGAAAGCCCCCGGCUCAACCGGGGAACGGGCGCCGAUACGACCGGCCUGGAGGGGGGUAGGGGGCGCCGGAACUGCCGGUGGAGCGGUGAAAUGCGUUGAGAUCGGCAGGAACGCCCGUGGCGAAAGCGGGCGCCUGGACCCCGCCUGACGCUGAGGCGCGAAAGCCAGGGGAGCGAACGGGAUUAGAUACCCUCGUAGUCC
This 274-nucleotide ribosomal RNA is filed under the name uncultured bacterium. Its description in RNAcentral is "partial 16S ribosomal RNA". It matches the Rfam family "Bacterial small subunit ribosomal RNA", at positions 524 to 796 of the family's 1533-position model. The record is from RNAcentral.